Molecule: ribosomal RNA, 481 nt
Filed under: uncultured bacterium
Lineage: Bacteria
Description: partial 16S ribosomal RNA
Rfam family: Bacterial small subunit ribosomal RNA
Source: RNAcentral
AUUGAACGCUGGCGGCAUGCCUUACACAUGCAAGUCGAACGGUAACAGGUCUUCGGAUGCUGACGAGUGGCGAACGGGUGAGUAAUACAUCGGAACGUGCCCGAUCGUGGGGGAUAACGAGGCGAAAGCUUUGCUAAUACCGCAUACGAUCUACGGAUGAAAGCGGGGGAUCUUCGGACCUCGCGCGGACGGAGCGGCCGAUGGCAGAUUAGGUAGUUGGUGGGAUAAAAGCUUACCAAGCCGACGAUCUGUAGCUGGUCUGAGAGGAUGAUCAGCCACACUGGGACUGAGACACGGCCCAGACUCCUACGGGAGGCAGCAGUGGGGAAUUUUGGACAAUGGGCGAAAGCCUGAUCCAGCCAUGCCGCGUGCAGGAUGAAGGCCUUUGGGUUGUAAACUGCUUUUGUACGGAACGAAAAGCCUCUUUCUAAUAAAGAGGGGUCAUGACGGCACCGUAAGAAUAAGCACCGGCUAACUACGU